UUUAAUGGGAGUCACAUUGUGCUGUCU
This 27-nucleotide non-coding RNA is filed under the name Callithrix jacchus (white-tufted-ear marmoset). Lineage: Eukaryota; Metazoa; Chordata; Mammalia; Primates; Cebidae. RNAcentral also lists the same sequence under 1 other name. The record is from RNAcentral.